Molecule: long non-coding RNA, 987 nt
Organism: Astatotilapia calliptera (eastern happy)
Lineage: Eukaryota; Metazoa; Chordata; Actinopteri; Cichliformes; Cichlidae
Source: Ensembl
AAGACAAUGUGAAGAUGAUUGUGUUUUGGAUUGCACUGAAUCUUCUUCAUCGAGGAUAUGCACUGGUUUCACAAAUUACUGUUCAAGCUGGAGAACCUGCAACCUUCAUCUGUAGUCUACCUCACACAGAGGUCCUCCCUCGACAAGUCCACUGGUAUAAACAGAGUGCCGGGGAUACACUGAAAGUAAUUGUGACAGUGCGGAAAUCUAAACCACCUGAGUAUGCACAAGAUUUUCCUAAAUCCAGAUGGGAGAUAAAAAGCAACAGCAGUUUUAGUAACCUGACCAUUUUGAGGACAAUUCAAGAAGAUGAGGGAAUGUAUCACUGUGGCGUCUCCGAGUGGCUUGCAGACAUUAUAUGGACUGGGAUGCAUUUAUUAAUAAAAGGAAAAAAUCAGAGCAUUUCCAACUCUUCUGUUGCUCAGAGUUCGACAGUAUCAUCUGGAACUAAGCCAGACAUCCAUGGAAGCAGCAUAUGGUCACACAGAUCCGGGGCAGUUAUUUUUAUGCUGUGUGCUGUCUUGGCUAUAAGCCUGAUUGUUAUAGCUAUCCUUAUUGCUGCAAUGAAGAAAGAUGACACGCAAUAUUGCAAAGGUGUUGUUCCCCUGCGAAAAAACACUGGUAUCCAGAAAACUCAACAGAAAGCAGAGGAUGUGUGGUUUUACUCUGCUGCAGUCUUUGCCAUGAUGGGAACUGACAGAGGUGGGACAACAGAUGCAGCUGAGAGGGAGAGACUCCACACUGCUGUCAAGGCCUUUGGGCUGGAUUAAUGAGCCUUUUGGAUCCACUGAAUAAUUUAGGUGUUUCUUUUAUGUCACAGUAGAGUACACCUAAUAUUAGGUAUAUUAGAUACCAUUGUAAGCUUAAAAAUGUUGUACUUUCACAAAAGCAAAAGGCUGAGUUAUACAAUACUAUGUAAAGAAAACUACUGUUGUCAAACGUAAAGACCUAAGUGGGGAUGCACUUGUAGUGAAGUGGAGGAACACA